UGCAUUGUGGCCAUGGUGUUUGGCUUGUUUGCUCUGCUUCUCAUCUUUUGUGGUUGUGGAGCUUCAUUUAGGUCUCAGGUAUACUCUUUGAGAUUAAGGAUCUCUCUUGCACUUGGCUGUUUGCAUCUCUAGGAUAUGCCUCUACACUACGGCUAGAAAGGUCAUCUUGGAGGGUCAGUGACGGUCAAUGACCUCUACAGCGGCNAGCAGCAUCUUUGGAUAUGAUAGAGCCGACUUGCUCUAUUUAUGGAGAUUAUUGGGUUCGC
RNAcentral lists this unclassified non-coding RNA (266 nucleotides) under Hevea brasiliensis (rubber tree). The record is from RNAcentral. Lineage: Eukaryota; Viridiplantae; Streptophyta; Magnoliopsida; Malpighiales; Euphorbiaceae.